Oncorhynchus keta (chum salmon) is the source of this 573-nucleotide long non-coding RNA. RefSeq lists it as uncharacterized. The record is from RefSeq and is a predicted model, not a curated record. The transcript is spliced from 4 exons. Lineage: Eukaryota; Metazoa; Chordata; Actinopteri; Salmoniformes; Salmonidae.
UAGAAACCCAACAUGAGGUCAGUACAUUAGACACAACAUGAGGUCAGGACAUUAGAAACCCAACAUGAGGCCAGCACAUUAGACACAACAUGAGGUCAGGACAUUAGAAACCCAACAUGAGGCCAGCACAUUAGACACAACAUGAGGUCAGGACAUUAGAAACCCAACAUGAGGCCAGCACAUUAGACACAACAUGAGGUCAGGACAUUAGAAACCCAACAUGAGGCCAGCACAUUAGACACAACAUGAGGUCAGGACAUUAGACACAACAUGAGGUCAGGACAUUAGAAACCCAACAUGAGGCCAGCACAUUAGACACAACAUGAGGUCAGGACAUUAGAAACCCAACAUGAGGCCAGCACAUUAGACACAACAUGAGGUCAGGACAUUAGAAACCCAACAUGAGGCCAGCACAUUAGACACAACAUGAGGUCAGGACAUUAGAAACCCAACAUGAGGCCAGCACAUUAGACACAACAUGAGGUCAGUACAUUAGACACAACAUGAGGUCAGUACAUUAGACACAACAUGAGGUCAGGACAUUAGAAACCCAACAUGAGGUCAGUACAUUAG